Molecule: RNA transcript, 683 nt
Organism: Polyodon spathula (Mississippi paddlefish)
Lineage: Eukaryota; Metazoa; Chordata; Actinopteri; Acipenseriformes; Polyodontidae
Gene name: putative sodium-coupled neutral amino acid transporter 10
Exons: 5
Source: RefSeq, a predicted model, not a curated record
CACAGGCAGGAAAUCAAAGACUUCUGGAAUGAAAACACGAUUUUUUUUUUCUUCUAUAAUUUUAAUGGUGGCUGAUCUGUAAUAUCAGUUGCUAGCUGGAUACCAAAUGUUUCCUCGGUUUUAUACUUUGUGAUUCUUUUUUAAUACUUUUGUUCAGUUAUUGUCUCUUAAUACAAUCAAACAGAAAGAAAUUCAAACAAACAUGACUGCUUCAAACUGGGGUUUGAUCAUGAACGUGUUCAACGGUAUCGUGGGAGUGAGUGUGCUGACCAUGCCCUUUUGCUUCAAGCAGCCUACCUUGCAUAUGGAAAAGCUGGAAAAAUGUUUGUGGAAAUGAGCAUGAUUGGGCAGAUGUUGGGCACCUGCAUUGCUUUCUAUGUCGUCAUUGCAGAAUUGGGCUUCAGGUGACCAGUGGAUUCCGUGUGGUCCUGCUCGUUGCAGUGUCCCUCUUCAUCGUCCUGCCACUGAGUCUGCAGAGAAACAUGAUGUUAAUCCAGUCCUUCUCUGCCACGGCCCUCAUGUUCUACACAUUCUUCAUGUUUGUAUGGUGCUGCCCUCCUUCAAACAUGGCCUCUUCAAUGGGCAGUGGAUGAAGCAGGUCAGUUGCGUGCGCUGGGAAGAUGUCUUUCGCUGCAUCCCUGUCUGUGGCAUGUCAGCCGUAAGUACACUCCAGUCUCCUGAGU